CGAGGGGCAGCAUGAACUUAGCUUGCUAAGUUUGAUGGCGACCGGCGCACGGGUGAGUAACACGUAUCCAACCUGCCGAUGACUCGGGGAUAGCCUUUCGAAAGAAAGAUUAAUACCCGAUGGCAUAGUUCUUCCGCAUGGUAGAACUAUUAAAGAAUUUCGGUCAUCGAUGGGGAUGCGUUCCAUUAGGUUGUUGGCGGGGUAACGGCCCACCAAGCCUUCGAUGGAUAGGGGUUCUGAGAGGAAGGUCCCCCACAUUGGAACUGAGACACGGUCCAAACUCCUACGGGAGGCAGCAGUGAGGAAUAUUGGUCAAUGGACGAGAGUCUGAACCAGCCAAGUAGCGUGAAGGAUGACUGCCCUAUGGGUUGUAAACUUCUUUUAUACGGGAAUAAAGUGAGGCACGUGUGCCUUUUUGUAUGUACCAUACGAAUAAGGAUCGGCUAACUCCGUGCCAGCAGCCGCGGUAAUACGGAGGAUCCGAGCGUUAUCCGGAUUUAUUGGGUUUAAAGGGAGCGUAGGCGGACUAUUAAGUCAGCUGUGAAAGUUUGCGGCUCAACCGUAAAAUUGCAGUUGAUACUGGUCGUCUUGAGUGCAGUAGAGGUAGGCGGAAUUCGUGGUGUAGCGGUGAAAUGCUUAGAUAUCACGAAGACUCCGAUUGCGAAGGCAGCUUACUGGACUG
Molecule: ribosomal RNA, 682 nt
Filed under: uncultured Bacteroidales bacterium
Lineage: Bacteria; Pseudomonadati; Bacteroidota; Bacteroidia; Bacteroidales
Description: bacterial SSU rRNA
Rfam family: Bacterial small subunit ribosomal RNA
Source: RNAcentral